Molecule: ribosomal RNA, 424 nt
Filed under: uncultured bacterium
Lineage: Bacteria
Description: partial 16S ribosomal RNA
Rfam family: Bacterial small subunit ribosomal RNA
Source: RNAcentral
AAUAUUGGACAAUGGGCGAAAGCCUGAUCCAGCCAUGCCGCGUGUGUGAAGAAGGUCUUCGGAUUGUAAAGCACUUUAAGUUGGGAGGAAGGGCAGUAAGUUAAUACCUUGCUGUUUUGACGUUACCGACAGAAUAAGCACCGGCUAACUUCGUUCCCGCAGCCGCGGUAAUACGAAGGGUGCAAGCGUUCAUCGGAAUUACUGGGCGUAAAGCGUGCGCAGGCGGUUGAUUAAGACAGGCGUGAAAUCCCCGGGCUUAACCUGGGAACUGCAUCCAAAACUGGCGAGCUAGAGUACGGUAGAGGGUGGUGGAAUUUCCUGUGUAGCGGUGAAAUGCGUAGAUAUAGGAAGGAACACCAGUGGCGAAGGCGACCACCUGGACUGAUACUGACACUGAGGUGCGAAAGCGUGGGGAGCAAACAGG